GACUCUCGGCAACGGAUAUCUCGGCUCUCGCAUCGAUGAAGAACGUAGCGAAAUGCGAUACUUGGUGUGAAUUGCAGAAUCCCGUGAACCAUCGAGUCUUUGAACGCAAGUUGCGCCCGAAGCCUCCGGCCGAGGGCACGUCUGCCUGGGUGUCACGCA
Molecule: ribosomal RNA, 159 nt
Filed under: Kielmeyera rosea
Lineage: Eukaryota; Viridiplantae; Streptophyta; Magnoliopsida; Malpighiales; Calophyllaceae
Description: 5.8S ribosomal RNA
Rfam family: 5.8S ribosomal RNA
About the family: 5.8S ribosomal RNA (5.8S rRNA) is a component of the large subunit of the eukaryotic ribosome. It is transcribed by RNA polymerase I as part of the 45S precursor that also contains 18S and 28S rRNA.
Source: RNAcentral